AGCAGGCGCGCAAAUUACCCAAUCCCGACACGGGGAGGUAGUGACAAUAAAUAACAAUACGGGGUUCUUUAGGAUCUCGUAAUUGGAAUGAGUACAAUUUAAAUCUCUUAACGAGGAACAAUUGGAGGGCAAGUCUGGUGCCAGCAGCCGCGGUAAUUCCAGCUCCAAUAGCGUAUAUUAAGUUGUUGCAGUUAAAAAGCUCGUAGUUGAAUUUCGGGGUUAGNAGGUUGGUCAUGCCUCUGGUAUGUACUGGUCUCACUGAUUCCUCCUUCCUGAUGAACCGUAAUGCCAUUAAUUUGGUGUUGCGGGGAAUUUGGACUGUUACUUUGAAAAAAUUAGAGUGUUUAAAGCAAGCUAACGCUUGAAUACAUUAGCAUGGAAUAAUGAAAUAGGACGUUCGAUCCUAUUUUGUUGGUUUCUAGGAUUGACGUAAUGAUUAAUAGGGAUAGUUGGGGGCAUUAGUAUUCAAUUGUCAGAGGUGAAAUUCUUGGAUUUAUUGAAGACUAACUACUGCGAAAGCAUUUGCCAAGGAUGUUUUCAUUAAUCAAGAACGAAAGUUAGGGGAUCGAAGACGAUCAGAUACCGUCGUAGUCUUAACCAUAAACUAUGCCGACUAGGGAUCGGAUGAUGUUAAUUUUUUAAUGACUCAUUCGGCGCCUUACGGGAAACCAAAGUGUUUGGGUUCA
This 686-nucleotide ribosomal RNA is filed under the name uncultured Glomeromycotina. Its description in RNAcentral is "SSU rRNA". It matches the Rfam family "Eukaryotic small subunit ribosomal RNA", at positions 427 to 1115 of the family's 1831-position model. The record is from RNAcentral. Lineage: Eukaryota; Fungi; Glomeromycota.